RNAcentral lists this ribosomal RNA (504 nucleotides) under uncultured bacterium. Its description in RNAcentral is "bacterial SSU rRNA". It matches the Rfam family "Bacterial small subunit ribosomal RNA", at positions 791 to 1296 of the family's 1533-position model. The record is from RNAcentral.
UAGUCCACGCCGUAAACGAUGUCUGCUAGCCGUUGGGGUCCUUAGGGCUUCAGUGGCGCCGCUAACGCAUUAAGCAGACCGCCUGGGGAGUACGGUCGCAAGAUUAAAACUCGAAGGAAUUGACGGGGGCCUGCACAAGCGGUGGAGCAUGUGGUUUAAUUCGAAGCAACGCGCAGAACCUUACCAGCCUUUGACAUCCUAGGACGGUUUCUGGAGAUAGACUCCUUCCCUUCGGGGACCUAGUGACAGGUGCUGCAUGGCUGUCAUCAGCUCGUGUCGUGAGAUGUUGGGUUAAGUCCCGCAACGAGCGCAACCCUCAUCCUUAGUUGCCAUCAUUUAGUUGGGCACUUUAAGGAAACUGCCGGUGAUAAGCCGGAGGAAGGUGGGGAUGACGUCAAGUCCUCAUGGCCCUUACAGGCUGGGCUACACACGUGCUACAAUGGUAUCUACAGUGAGCAGCGAUCCCGCGAGGGUUAGCUAAUCUCCAAAGNUAUCUCAGUUCGG